CCAGUUUCGCCCUCCUUUCCAGUCUUCUGUCUUCCUGCUUAAAAAGAGAAAGUUCUGCCCCUGGCCUUUCCCCAUUGGUCCAUUUGCCAUAUGCCACUAAUUGCUAAUUAGUUGGGGACGAUUGUCAAUUGAGGACACAACUCAAACAGAACUCAAAGCAGAUUAUAAAUUGUCCAGCAUGCAAUCACAAAACAACAAGUCAUAGAAACAUGCAAUCAUAAAAUAACAAACUGUAAAACAUGCAACAACAAAUCAAUAAAAUAUGCAAUCAUUUGUGCAUGCAAUCAAGGGUCCCCAAUAGUCCACCCAGUGACAUACUCCCCCACUUAAACGUAGGUAGUCCCUGCCACUGGACAAGCCUAAUGUCGAUAUCGGCUUGGUGGUAGUCCACGGGUAGCGCGUGCCGACCGGCGGAGCGCAUUGUCCACUACUUCUGCUGGUGGUUCAGGAGGCAAAAUGUCUGCCCCUACCUCAGGCUGCUCAAAAAAUCAAUUGUGCAUGCAAUCAAGGGUCCCCAAUCGUACACCCAGUGACAUGUCCAUGAUUGUUUCAACCUGUGUCCAAUCACCCGCACCUUCCCAGUGUAUUCAAGCCAUGUGUGUAUCUUGUCCCUUGUCACGUCAUUGAUCGUUUAAUCCUUCAUGUUAUGCCUGGAACAUCUACCCUGAACCUGGUCCCUGUGUGAUGCAAGUCCCUGUUCACCGUCUGUGUUAUUCCAUGUCUUCGUUUGUUUCCCCCUGGCAUUUUAGAUUUAUUAAAAGUAUCGUUUUUGUCACAAACUUUGCGUUUGACCCCUACUUCCUGCCUCGCCUCCCCGGUCCUGAUAUUACCAUACUUGGAUGACUUGCACUGAUUGGAGUCAGCUAUGGUUACUUUUGAAUGAAAUGACAUGUGUCCGUCAGUAAGCAGGGAUGAUAAUUAGCGCUACCAAGUUUUACGUUAGCUCCCUCGGUCGACCGUGCAUGCAUGGUGACCCGAACGGUCGUUUGCGAUCAACCUCUUGCGACCCCUGGGCUAAAGAAUCAGGACAACCUGAGUUUUCCCCCCCAAUUACCAAUGAGGCUAGGUCAUACCACAUUAAAGGCUGAUUUAUGUUUGAUAGCUUUAAUUACCGAUCUUUCACAAUUUUCCAGGCAUACACGAAUACUAUGGAAUGCCGUUUUAGUCAAAAUUAAAUAAAUGAAUAAAUACGUAAAUACAUCAAAUAUGCAUUUGAAAUAGAUCAUGAAAUAAAUAAAUGAGGCAAUAAAUACAUAAAUAUUAAAUACAUUUAAUUAUUUCAUGGUAGGCUACUUUUAUUUCAUAAUGCCACUUUUCAUUUCCAGAGUCUUUUAUUUCAUAAUGCCACUUUUCAUUUCCAGAGACUUAUUUCAUAAUGCCGUUUUACAUUUCACGUUCUUAUAUGCAAAUCAGGGGGCGUGGCUACAUCUAACAUUCAGAACAGACAACAGAGCCGUGUGCAAAAGAAGGCUUUUUUGUGUGAUUUGUAUACACAUCAGCUCAACUGAAGUAAAGUUAUAUAAACUGAAGCUUAAAAGUGCAUUAUUCAGCUUUUGUCAACUCUGCCUCUUUGGGGCGGAGCUCAACGCGGCUACAAACUGAAAAACAUUGAUAUAUUACAGCAUUUUAAAAAUGACAUUGUUAAUCUGCAUAUUUAUAUUUCCUGCACACAAGAGGUGCUUCUUAACAAAUGUUCCUCUUUAGCUCUGGUUUAAUGUGAGAAAAAUGUCUGGCUCUUUAGCUGCUAAUUGCUGCUGUAUUUUAAUCUGCUUUCCUCGGACUGUGUUUGUGUGCUAUGUAUAAGACCUUUCUCGCACAGUUUCUAUUGGAAUGAGAGCUUCGAUGCUGAAGCUAAACAGAAAAGUAGCAGGUCAUUUAACCCCAAAUAAUAUUGAGAAAUUUCAGUUGAAUUGGGUACAUAAUGAUUUUUCUCUCUGUUGUGAAGGUCCUCUGUCAUGGCUCAGUCACCCAGUAACUUGCUAGGCCACACAGGGAAAUGAAAAACCUCCACUUACUUUGGCUGACACCAAUGUCUUACGAAGUUGAGUUUUAAAGAGUUAAGAAAGCAGCCUGCAGUAAAGUGAUGCUGGUGGUCGCACACUUAGACUAAGGUUCUCACUUCAGCCCUUUUAAAUACAGUGGGUUGGUCAGUGGCAAAGCAAAAUUAAAACUUGUCCCGGAGUUAUGGCUGGAGUAACGGAAUCAUUUAGGUUUCACAUAAAGACAUCGUUUGGGGGAGUUGGAUGGAUGUUGGGGUCUAAAGACACAUGGACCUCCACCCAUGAGACCACUGUUCUUGAAAAUGUAUGUUAAAGCUUUGCUUUUGCAUUGAAGUCUACUUAACUACGUUGUGGGGUUACUUAGUGUUACUGCAUCUCUGACAGAACUAAGCCUUUCUAAAUAUUACUCUUUGAAAUCAUUGAUCCUAGACUGUGUUUUCUUACCCAAGUCAGUAAGCAGGUCAUUUACAUGAGCCUACUGGAUGUGCAGGUAAAGUGUGUAAAGUGAAUGGGGAAAAUGCUUCAUGGGACACAUACUGUGUGAUGGCUGUGAGGCAGGCUGGGCAUGCUUGAACGGUUUUAGUUCUAAUCUGCAUUUUACGGUUACCCAUGCAAUAGCAAUGAGACAACCUGAGCGAGUACAGCAAACUCCCCCAAUAAUCCUCCAUUAUUAACUGUCAGAGACAAAUCAAAAAAAUGUUUGGAUGUAUCCCUAAAAGAACCGUUACUCUGUCACUUUUUCUUUUUUUGGGAUUAUGUAAACCCAUGACUGUUAUAGGCCUUAUUUCUUUUUUUGUCACUGCCAAAAGCAACCUGCUGGGACACAAAGAAAAAAAACAGCAGAUCGGCUUUUGGAACAAAGUCAGUUAUGUAAAAAGUUUUGGACCAGAGCCUUCAUCGACACCUCAGAGCUGGCAGCACAAGCAGUAGCUGUGCUCGGGUGGAACAGUAUCACAUCCCAGCGAAGCCUGUCUCUGACUUCACAGGUAUCCUCGCUCCAGAAAAAAAUCUGCCACAGCUUCGUCAAGCAGGAAAAUGGAGAUGUGCUAUACUGGAUAACAAAUAAAUGAUACACCAUCUGCCCAGUGAAUUUGGUUUCCCUUAAAGCUGACUAAAUGCUGCCCUGUUGAAGGCUGUAGAUUAUUACAGCACGAUGAUUGUUAGCGGAUGUUACAAUUAUUACAAAGGGUUUGUUUCUCUGAUAGCACCAGGGCAUAUAAACUGCAGUUUUUAUCGAUAGGGCGUUUGGUCAUCCGUCCAUAUUGAGAUGUCUGAACAGCUCCUCAGCAGAUUGCCUUUUAAUAUUCAUGGACCCUGAUUGUUGUAACCUCAAUCUUUCCACCUGAGUCCUGGAUAUUUACAUCAACAUAUAAUUAGGGCUGCGAUUCCGUGGCCGUUUCUCAUUUGAAUCCAGCAUAACAUUUCUGAACAAAUCCCUUUGAAAGAAAGAUUUGAAUGGUAAAGCAAACAUAUUAAAGAUUUGAAUAGCAGCCUAUUAAACGAUCCCAAUCUGUAAAUUAUAAAAUGCAGCAAAUGCUGAUUAAAUACAAGUGUAUAUGUCCGGUACAUCUGUUAUGUCUUUUCAACAGCUACUUGAACCCAACACUGGAGGCCCGGAUUCUGGCUUGAUUGAUAUUCUUAAAUAUUAAUUAUUAACACAAUAUCUGCGAACUGGGAAAAAUACAACUAGGAUUUGUUUCUCUAGAGAAGACGCAACACUCAUUUUAAACUUAAUCCACCAUAAAAACGCAACUUCAACUUGUGAGUACAUUGAGUGGUGCUUCUCUCACCUGAAAGUUGUCAGCUAUAUCACUAAUUAGGUGAUGUAGAUAUGAUCUGUCGCUCGCUAAAAAUAAGUGGCCCGCUGACCUGAAUGUUUGGCACAUUGCUAAAUACAGAGCGAGGCGAGACAAAAGAUUUGAUAAGGGAUUCAUUAACCUUGGAGCUUAGCAAAUCUAGAUUUCUUUAUUAAACUGGCAUGCAAUCCAAAAAGAAUCCAUGAGUGAUGAAUCAAAGUGCUAUCUGUUAAUAUAGUAAUGUUAUUGCAAAUUUUAAGUAACCAGUUUUGGAUUCUUAUAGGUUUCCCAAAUAUGUUACUAUUCUGCGGUGCACGAUUUUAAUUACAACAAUGUAUCUGCUAACAUAAUCAGCACAUUAAUGUCUCACAGAAGAUGGUUGGCUUACCUCUUGGGUUAUGUCAUUCCAAAGGACACAUUUUACAUUGUUACUCCAAUUACUGGCAAUGUUGUUGUACAUGUAAUGAAUUAAAAUGUAACUGUCAGUGGUGGGGACCAACAUAUUCUCUAACUUAUCAAAUACCAACAUUUAGUCAGUGGUGGCACUCUUGGUACCUCUCUGGGAUCACAGACAAAAUAGCAGCUUCUGCUUGUCAUAUAUUUAGCACCUUUUUAAAAAUAAACUUAAGUUUGUUGUUUAAAACAAAUAAACUGUGCUAAUGGUAAGUGUAAAUUGGUCAUGUAAAUUACAUGACAAAACUAUAAUAAAGUGGAAUCCUGGGAGAGAAAAACUCCGGUGCUAUCCCAACUGGGCAUUGUUGUGUGUGCCCAUGCAUGUAGGAAACAUUUGUGAUUGGCCUCUCUGGAUACAGGACAUGUAAGGGGCUGGGUUUGUUAUCUGCUGCUUGCACUACUGUUCUAGUAACAACUCGCAUAAGAAAAACUAUCAGUGGGCAGAGAUUGUCUCACGAGGGCCCUUUUGGUAAAAGUCCUGUGUUUUGAGCCAAUUUCCCCUCUUUAAACCACGACAGUUGCUUUGACCAUUUAAUACAUAUGGGAAAGGAUUAAUUGGAAGUGUGGUGCAUCUCAUUCAAACAUUAAAUGGUAGCUCUGAGUUGGACAACUCGGCUGCAGUGUUGCAGCAAAGAAAUCAAAUUAGUUAUAUCAUCUAAGACUCAAUGUAAUUUAACAUUUUCUGCCAGAAAUAUGUCCAUAGAGAGAAUAUUUUAGCAGCUUCAGUUUUGACUGAAACAGAAAAAUGAAACGCUCAAGUUCUAAACUGCAAAAGCAACCCAGAAAACAAGAACACUUACUCAAUUACAAGAACUACAAGAUGUAGCACUCCAGAAUAAUGAACUACUAAUUAAUUAUCAUCAAACCAUUUAGUUCUAUGCCUUGUAUGCUGUUUUUAUUUUUUUUUAACAAAUAUGACAGGGAAUAAAAUACUAAAGCCACAAUCCAUCAUUCUGAUGUCUACACACUCAAGCAGGCCAAACAAACAAAAGAGUUAUAAAAGACUCAUGUUAGUCCUCUAAGUCAUUAGGUGAAAUAAGACUGUAGUAGAAGACGCCAUUUUUAUUGUUUAAGUAUUAAAUUAGACAUGCAUGCAAAUUGUUAUCUCAUCUAUCCCACCCACACAGUGGAAAGAGCUGGCUGCCGUAAAGGCGCCCGGGGAGCAGUUAGGUGUUUGGUGUCUUCCUCAGGGACACUUCGACAUGGGACAUGGAGCAGUCAGGUUUCAAACCGCCAACCCUGCGAUUCCCGGCGCACCCUCUCUACUCCAUGCGCCACUUAUGGAAGGGAUUCUCCAUUACACUGGUGUUACUAUCUAUCUAUCACACACCAUCACUGUCAUGGCUAUAUGCUGUACAGUAUGUAAUGUAUUCUGACAGGUUCAGGCUAUUUUAUUAGCAACUCCAUCAGACUAUCUCAUAUUAAAACCUCAAGAAAGAAAUAGAAAAAAUCAAUUGAUUUCAAGUAUAGUAAAAUUUGGCACCCACAAUCUUCAUAAUUGUGUGUUUUGAUAUGGAUCAAUAAAUACAGAUUUUGAAUAUUAAUCAGAUAUUUAUAAAAUAUAUAUAUAUAAAAAUUGUACAUUUGUGUAACAUGAAAUGUACCUGAAAUGCUAUAUAAAAAACAGAUGUUCUUGCAUGAUAUUGCUCUAAAAAAAUAUCACUUAUGGCCAGUGCCGUUGACUUGUAUGCUCAAAUUGAUGUAAAAAUGCAAAAAAAAAACAUGAAAUAUGUUUGUUAACCAGGGUCAAGUCACAUAAUGUAUGGCCCUCCGUGACAUACCUGGAAGCAGGAGAUAAAAUACUGUGUGCCUUGGGCCAAGCUGUGCACAGAUGUCAUUCUACUUUGCUGGAUUUACAGCGGGAGCACUUAGUGCAGUAACAGAGAUGUGUUCAUAGAAAAUCAAACUGACACGUUGACUUCCUCUACAGGACCUUAGAGGCUGCUGGCCUCUUCAUCUUUACAUCUGCUACAGCAAUACUGCAGCAUGUGUACUUUACCCUGAUCUCAUGUCACGAUUCUCCAGAGUGUACACCUCCAUCAAGGGCCACAACAGGGAGUCACAGCAAUCUACCAGGCAUGAUGUAAGCAUGGCACACUACGUGUAAUAUGGGUGAAAUACAAGUCACGAGUUCAGUUCCAAAAACGCUAAAUGGCAAAGAAUCCAGUUUUGAUGAAGUGAUAUAUAUAUAUAUAUAUAUGUAUAUAUGUGAAACAAUUAUAAAUGUUUUACUAUUUUUGGAUGACACCGGUUGACGUUGGGGUUGUGUGAUGUCAAAUGCAGGUAUUGUUACAACUGAGUUGUUGCAUUUGGUUAAGUCCUGUAUUACUUUGCCAAUAUGUCCCCUCAACACCUAUAUCAUUUUUCUCCUCAUUCCCAUGUUUCCUCAGCUCUAUGUUCCAUCAUGGACUUUUUGUCCAUUCCGGUUUUGUUCUAAUUCUCCUAUGUACUUUUAUUCCGAUUCAAAAUCAAGCCCGAGGUUUCCUUAUCCCUAUGUUCCUUAACAAAGCUUUUGUUUUUGUACCAUUUUGUAAAUCCCCAAUAACACCUUAUGUUACCUCAUCAACAUUUUGUCUAUCUCAAAAGAGGCCCUAGGUUCCUAGACAUUACGUCAAUCUCAACUGAGGCCCUAUCUUCCUUCAACAUUAUCCCUGGCCGAUGUUAAAAUGUGCAAGCUUCACGAUCCAGCUCCUAGCUCAGCUGGUGCUGCAAAAGGCAUCAAAAGCCCUCAAGGACUAGUACAGAAGCUUCACGCUGCUCUGCAGCAGCGUCUCAACCCAAGCUCUGACUUUCAUUUAGAUGCAGCCGUAACCUCUUGUUGACCCCGCUCUCUGUCCACCCACUCUAACACAUGCUGUGACUGCUUGCAUCCCAAACCCCUCAGAAUGAUUCAAUCAUGAUGGAUCUUUUUCCUGCAAAAAAAUUGUUCAGGCGCCUUACUGCUGCAAGGAGAUCCACCUUUGCUUAUGUGGGCGGAGAGAGAAAGAGAAACAAAACUGGCAGGGAAAUUCUUAGUUUGAUAAAUUUGAUUUCUCAUGACAGACAUUUCAGUGCUAUCCAACUCAUUUCACUUUUCUGUCAAUUUAAAUAUAUAAUAGAUAAAUGCUAUUAAUAUAAUAACUUAUUCUUACUCAAAUUCUGAAUAGUUUGGGCAAAAUAUAAAGCAUUACAUAUUGUUUUGCCCUAUUCUCAAAGAGCAUUGCCACUUGGACUGGAGUACAUUUAAAAAAAAAAAAUCUAUUUCAUCAUAUCCCCCAUCAGUGAGAGUCUUUUGUAAAUCAACGCCUAUAUUUUUGUUUCACUUUUUGACAUUUCAGCAUGACACGUAAAACAGCAGGAGAUCAAAUCCUAAUGGCUUAUCUGGAUGAAAGCCAAAAUCAAAUUGCAUGCAUUUCUAACCUAGCCAAAUGCCGAAUGUGUAUGCUUGUCAAAAAAAAGCUUAUUGAAAUAAUAGGUUUUAUACUGUCAAUGUUUUUUCUGUAUUAAAAAUGGAACAAAAUAACAAAACAACAACGCUGUCUCUCAAAGCUUUUCUAGCGGAUCCUAAAUAAAUUGCCUUUUUUUUUAAAAGGCAACAGUGUGGCUCAUUGAGGAUCCCAUAAUAGAUUGUCCACCCAGUGUACUGAAAUGGAGCUUCAUGGCUAUGGUUUCAUAAACAGACAAUCCUUCUUAGUGAGAUAAAUUGGUCUUGUUCUUUUCCAAAAAUUUAAAAGCCAAAAUAGUCAAACCAUUCACAUUGGGCCAUUUACUCCAUAGACUGUAUUACAAAAAAACAAUGCUCCAGGAAAAAAUAAGAUCGAUGAUGUCUUUCUGCAUUAUAAGCAGCAAUGAGCUCUCAGUCAUUCAUUAGUUUGUUGCAAGGAGAGUUGAUGGAAAAAUUAGGCUUUCAGACAUUUUCCUCACUGCCGUUGUUUCGUAAUAAUGCAUUGUAACAAUUGUAUGCCACACAUUUUAAGCUGCACACAAAGAAAGAAACUGGUCUUAAAAAGAAGAAUAUGCCCAACCCCAGCCCAAGUAUACUGCGCGUCUUGGCCCGUUUGGAUUCCAAUGGCUGAAAUGAAAGAUUGUCUUUUGGGUCUUAUCCCAAAGUAGUGCAUCUGGACUACUCGGCCUUCAGACAUCCAGGCACCUGAAAUCGGACUAUGUAUCUUUUCUUUAAACCAAGCUAGUCUGCUAACUUAGUUGUUGAUUCUAGUGUUUUAGGUAGAUUGCUAGUUUGCUUUAGCUCUUGCAGUUUUUACUGCCAGUUCUUCCUGUCGACUCUGUAAAUCUGUUAUUUACGUUGACUGCUGGCGUGCCCUCCUGUCUUUGCUAGGUUUGAUCUAACUCUGUUUUGCCUUCUCUUCUGCUUCAGAAGAGACUUGAAUCCUUCAACUCUGUUUGUCAAAACCAUGGUGAUCUGUCACGGUGUGGUUCACUUCAUGUUAUAUUUUGUAGUUUUCUGCCACUUGUGUCCCCGGGUAACUUCACUUCCUGCCUUGUCCCGUCAUCCCCUGUGAUCGUCUUAAUAGUUUACACCUGUGUCCAAUCACCUGCACCUCCCUAGUGUAUUUUAGCCGUGUGUCUCUUGUGUCACUUGUCGCGUCAUUGUCUUUUGCCACGCUUGUUCUUGUCUUUCGUCCUGGAUCUCUGUAGUUUUUUGCCUAUGUGCUUUUGCCCCCGGUUCCUGUGUUUUUGACCUUUUUGACUAUUAAAGUGUUUUGUUUGGAGAAGUCUGCAUUUGAGUCCUGCCUUCCACCCUCAACCCUGACAGAAUGACGCGACCAGUGGACUCAGCAGACCCGCUGCCAGACUACGGCUCGGACUACUUGGACGUAAGAAGUCCCUUCUGGCAGCGGAAAACGAAUUUUGUUUUUGGUCCCAGGAGC
Molecule: long non-coding RNA, 9117 nt
Organism: Gasterosteus aculeatus aculeatus (three-spined stickleback)
Lineage: Eukaryota; Metazoa; Chordata; Actinopteri; Perciformes; Gasterosteidae
Source: Ensembl